Rhinichthys klamathensis goyatoka is the source of this 1694-nucleotide long non-coding RNA. RefSeq lists it as uncharacterized. NCBI's taxonomy places the organism in Eukaryota, Metazoa, Chordata, Actinopteri, Cypriniformes, Leuciscidae. The record is from RefSeq and is a predicted model, not a curated record. The transcript is spliced from 2 exons.
CAAAACUCAGAGUCAGAUAAAGUACAUUUUUACCCAUGCAGCACCAUUUGUUUAGAAAUUUUCACAGAAAAUCUAUGGAGUUAUAAAUGACCCAUUUUACUGUAUCAAGUGUGUCACCAUAUGGUUAUCACAGUAGGUGGAUCCUUGUGGUACUUGGCAGCAUCAACUGUAUAAUGACCGACUGCGGUUUUCAUGUUGUCCUUAGAGACAUUAUAAACGUUCGAUUUAUGUGCUGGAAUGGGGGUUACCUUUGCUUAUUUCCUAUCUGAACUGUAUGUAAUUGGUGUUAGUUUUGUGAAUGCAAAUUAACAUAGUCUGUAAUGUGUCUUACAGAUUUGACUGGCAAAAAGGAUCUGAAGAAUCUCAGAGAACAAGAGCAAUUCCCACCUGGUUUCCAUGGCAUCCGUCCAACUCACAGCAGGAAAGGAAGCAGAUCUCGGCAGUGCUGAGUUCGCCCUCUUCUGGACGGAAGUGAGGGCUCCAAUAAGCCUUGGUCUAAUUAGCCAUGCUGUCAAAACAUUUCUGCACAAGUGCUUUUAGAAAACUCUGCUGCAUGCUCACGCUGAACUAUUCCGAGGGGAGAUUUGUUAAUUUGGGCUUAUGUAACGCUGCAGCUUGCUGCCAUUACAGGAAAAACAAAUGAAAAGGUCAAAUGAUAGUAAAUCCAACCCAGAAAGAACCUCUUAACACAGCUCAGACAACACCCUUCAUCCACCUUUUGCAUUGCGAACAAUUUCCCCUUUAAACGCUCUGAUCAGGUCCCAUAUUGCUCAAUAAAAGAUUUACAUUACUUGGAAUAAAUCAUUCAAGUACAGAAAGAAUUAGAUGUUUCCAGGUAUUAUCGAUUUAAAACUCAACCUUUCUUGUAAAGCAAUUUGAAAUAAGAGAGUUAAACAUAUAAAGCAAGCACUUUUAUUUGUUUGAACAGAUACAUAGAUUUAUAUUGUACACUUUUUUUUGUUGCUAUCUUGUGUUCUUAUACAUGUACUAACCGUGGUUAAAAAAGGCAACUGUUAAUGGAAACAAUGGCAAGUAUACAAUACAAUUAGCAAACAUAUCAAAAUCAGUUUUUACAACAUUUUUAGCAACCAAUUCUUUUUAUUGGUCUGCCAUAGUGCAAACUGUGUGGUUUGAAGACAGAGUGGUAGCGUGAUAUUAACAUUCAUUCUUACAGUUCCGACGUCUCUGUCUCGAACACAUUUUAAUGUGUAGACCGCAUUCACAGCGCCUCUGCUUCAAGUCCUUCUCUCCCUUAAUGUCGAUUUCAAUAAUACUUCAAGUGUGUAGGGCUGUUCGACAGAUGAGUAGUGGACAAAAGCUAUGAUUAACAAUUCGAUCUGUGUGUUUAUUGCAGUGUAUGUGGAAGUUCGCGUCAGAUAACCCUAUUCAAGCUCUGUUCAAUGUUCGAGAGUCCCUCUCUGUUUCUCUUGGAUACUCUUCUUAAACAAGCUCACUGGUUACAGCAAAGAUCUAAAUGAUUGUAUUUUGGAGUGGUUGUGAUAUAUAUUUUUUUUGUAUGUUGUCUGUGUAUCCUAAUGAGAGUAUUCUGACAAGGUGAAAACAUGAAAUAAAGCAGAGAAUGUCAUCCAUUUCAAUAGUGUCCAUUUCCAAGACAUUCCUUUAGUAUAUCCAUGUGACAUUGGACUCCUGUGGCAGAGAUACUGAUUUAGAGGAAAAUGACAAAAAAAAAAACA